Molecule: ribosomal RNA, 403 nt
Filed under: bacterium
Lineage: Bacteria
Description: partial 16S ribosomal RNA
Rfam family: Bacterial small subunit ribosomal RNA
Source: RNAcentral
UGGGGAAUCUUGCACAAUGGGGGAAACCCUGAUGCAGCGACGCCGCGUGAGCGAUGAAGGUUUUCGAAUCGUAAAGCUCUGUCCUAUGGGAAGAUAAUGACGGUACCAUAGGAGGAAGCCCCGGCUAACUACGUGCCAGCAGCCGCGGUAAUACGUAGGGGGCGAGCGUUGUCCGGAAUUACUGGGCGUAAAGGGUUCGCAGGCGGCAUGACAAGUCCGAUGUAAAAGGCGAAGGCUCAACUUUCGUAAGCAUCGGAAACUGUCAAGCUUGAGUGAAGGAGAGGCAAGUGGAAUUACUAGUGUAGCGGUGGAAUGCGUAGAUAUUAGGAGGAAUACCGGUGGCGAAGGCGACUUGCUGGACUUCAACUGACGCUGAGGAACGAAAGCGUGGGUAGCAAACAGG